GUUGGUUAGGUUACGUCGUAACGAGCGCAACCCUUGUCCUUAGUUACCAGCACGUUAUGGUGGGCACUCUAAGGAGACUGCCGGUGACAAACCGGAGGAAGGUGGGGAUGACGUCAAGUCAUCAUGGCCCUUACGGCCUGGGCUACACACGUGCUACAAUGGUCGGUACAAAGGGUUGCCAAGCCGCGAGGUGGAGCUAAUCCCAUAAAACCGAUCGUAGUCCGGAUCGCAGUCUGCAACUCGACUGCGUGAAGUCGGAAUCGCUAGUAAUCGUGAAUCAGAAUGUCACGGUGAAUACGUUCCCGGGCCUU
RNAcentral lists this ribosomal RNA (311 nucleotides) under uncultured Pseudomonas sp. Its description in RNAcentral is "bacterial SSU rRNA". It matches the Rfam family "Bacterial small subunit ribosomal RNA", at positions 1070 to 1382 of the family's 1533-position model. The record is from RNAcentral. Lineage: Bacteria; Pseudomonadati; Pseudomonadota; Gammaproteobacteria; Pseudomonadales; Pseudomonadaceae.